This 105-nucleotide small nuclear RNA is filed under the name Castor canadensis (American beaver). The record is from RNAcentral. Lineage: Eukaryota; Metazoa; Chordata; Mammalia; Rodentia; Castoridae.
GUGCUGUUUCAACAGCACAUAUACUAAAAUUGGAACCGUACAGAAAGAUUAGCAUGGACGCUGCGUAAUGAUGACAAAAAAAAAUGUGAAGUGUUCCAUAUUUAA